RNAcentral lists this ribosomal RNA (264 nucleotides) under Triticum aestivum (bread wheat). RNAcentral describes it as "partial small subunit ribosomal RNA". The record is from RNAcentral. Lineage: Eukaryota; Viridiplantae; Streptophyta; Magnoliopsida; Poales; Poaceae.
AUGGUUGAGACAAGAAAGAAUGAACAAUAUUAUAUUGUUUACAAACUUCUUAAAUUGGUUCUCAUUCUUCCGGUAGCCACUGCUAGCGUUGAGAGGGUAUUUUCCUCGAUGAAAUACGUGAAGAAUUCACUAAGAAACAAAAUGGGUGAUGAAUAUUUGAACGAUUGCUUGGUUACAUUCGUUGAGAGAGAAUUCUUCAGGCAAGUGAAAGAUGAAGAUGUCAUCAAUCUCUUCCAAAAAGGGGAUCGUAAAGUUAUAUUGUAA